CAUAGCUCAGCUGGAUAGAGUACUCGGCUACGAACCGAGCGGUCGCAGGUUCGAAUCCU
This 59-nucleotide transfer RNA is filed under the name Pseudomonas sp. URIL14HWK12:I5. Its description in RNAcentral is "tRNA_Arg_ACG". It matches the Rfam family "tRNA", at positions 7 to 61 of the family's 71-position model. From Rfam's summary of the family: Transfer RNA (tRNA) molecules are approximately 80 nucleotides in length. Their secondary structure includes four short double-helical elements and three loops (D, anti-codon, and T loops). Lineage: Bacteria; Pseudomonadati; Pseudomonadota; Gammaproteobacteria; Pseudomonadales; Pseudomonadaceae. The record is from RNAcentral.